UUGCCAGGUAACCCAAUGAAAUAAUGUGUCAACUCGCGUUAGCAGGCAGCUUUUAAAUUAGACUUUUGAUUACAUGAAGGCAUGAGCUUACAGGAAGAGGGUCCCCAGGAGCCCCAACAGGAGACACUGCAGCAGACAGCAGUUAGAAUAAUUCAGAUGGCCUGGAGAAGACAUGUGUACAGAGAGGUCUUCAAGUAUUUCAAGGAGCUUAUCACCCAUUGCAACCAGCAGGAUCCACAGACAAUCCUCAAAACUGUCAAUCCUCGAGAGGCAGAGUUGCUGGAUGCUGCUGCUGGGGUGUUCAUCAGAUUUCGACUCGGAGGGAUUACUUUUCCUCCCAACAUCUAUUACAAGAUCUUCACCCAUCGGCCCAUUGCGGAUGUGUGUGCCAGCAGCCCAAAGGACUACACCCAGCUAGGCCUUAAAAGGCCUGUGGCCCGGCAGACCAACAAUAUCUGCCCUCUUAUGCAGGUGGACCGAUCAGGAUGGUACCAGCGUAUGGAGAACAACAGCUGGAGGCUCUUCUGUAGCAAGGUGGUUCCCACGGGUGAGCCCAUAGAGAUCGGUGCUGACAAAAAAAUGGACUUUCACCAUUCCAGGUUGCAGCGGCAACAGGAUGUAAACAAGUGGAGGAAAAAGAGGAAAAUUGAAUGGCUGAAGCAGAUGUAUAACCAUGGUCGUCUGGAGACUCAUUCAGUGUAUCGACACAUGGCAAAGCUGGUGGAGAAUUCAGCCCAGGAAGUGAUGGACACCACUGAAGAGAAGGGAGAUAAUGAAACACUGGAAUGGGAGCUGGAUGAUCUUCUGGCCUGGACCAACACUCUCAGCUUUGAAGAGUAUAUGGAGGAGUGGAGACGUUUGGCUUGCAGUCACUCCUCUGAGCAAAAGUUAGAUCCACAAGAGCAUGCUGGUGUGGCUGAUGAAGACAGUUAGGCAUAUAUCAGAUGAAUGGAUGGUAAUUUUGAGGAAAGGAGCUACUUGAAGAAGAAGGGUCUCAACACAAAGCUCAAAGAAAUCAAACUGCAAUUGACUUCACUCCUCUCACACCUGAACAGGUCAGUCUUUGUUAAAUUAGGUGAGAACACCUGUCUUUCUCUCAUAUAGUGCAUUGUUACUGUUCUACAAUAAUCAUAUACUUGUUAUCUGUUUGACUGGUCUACUGCUUUUGCUACAGCUUAAUUAACUUGUUUGUUUUUUUCAUGUAAAUAAGUUGGUUUCUGUACUGUGCUAUACGGUAAGUGUAUGUAUGUUUAUAGAGGCUAAUACAGCCUGAAAAAUAGUGUUUUUUCUCUUUACAUGUACUGAAGAGCUGGCCAGUCUGAAUGAUCUCCACUAACUCAUCUCUUUCCUUCCUCCCUCUCUCUUCCUGAAACCCAGCAGCACUGAACCAAAAGCAGCUGAAAUGGCAACCCUGAGGACUGGUGAUGCAGACGACUGGAUCAGAUCUCUUAUUCAAGAGUCCCACAAAGAGUUCUCUUACUGUCCUUACAGCCAACUCACAGAGUGGGAUCAGCCCUGUUAACAGAAGAUGGAAAGAUCUUCACAGUUUGGUGAUACGCCCGUCUUCAUGACCGAGGUGGAUGGAUCCUACACCAUGAUGACGUUGGAGCAGCUGCUUCCACUGUCAUGGAGUGCAGAUCUUUUGCCAUUUUAGUCAUCUAAAAUUCAUGCUUUUAAUUUAUAAAAACACAUGAUAGUAUAUUCUUCCCUUAAAAAUCAUAAAUGUGAUUUCUUAGGUAAGGUUGCUUGCCUAUUAUAUUAAUACCAUGCUGAAACUUUUGUACACAUAUACACACACGCAGGGCAUGAGGCUUAACAAUUCAAAGUGUUGUCCUGCAGACUUGGU
RNA transcript from Siniperca chuatsi (mandarin fish), 1846 nucleotides. It is a transcript of the gene named linkage group 19 C11orf65 homolog, with no coding region annotated. The transcript is spliced from 11 exons. Lineage: Eukaryota; Metazoa; Chordata; Actinopteri; Centrarchiformes; Sinipercidae. The record is from RefSeq and is a predicted model, not a curated record.